The submitters of this non-coding RNA (63 nucleotides) gave its source as unclassified sequences. The record is from Rfam.
AAUCGUCCGAUCUACCAUCUGAUAGACCGCAGUAAGAUUCAAGCCAUAGGACGGGGACUUGAG